UUAAAAUGAUGACUUUAUAAAGACAAGCAUAUGGCUGACAUAUGUAAUGGAGAUAAAUAUUAACAUCUGAUUAG
Molecule: non-coding RNA, 74 nt
Organism: Cinara cedri
Lineage: Eukaryota; Metazoa; Arthropoda; Insecta; Hemiptera; Aphididae
Source: the annotation of a GenBank genome assembly